This 253-nucleotide ribosomal RNA is filed under the name uncultured bacterium. RNAcentral's name for it is "partial 16S ribosomal RNA". It matches the Rfam family "Bacterial small subunit ribosomal RNA", at positions 524 to 776 of the family's 1533-position model. The record is from RNAcentral.
UACGUAGGGUGCAAGCGUUGUCCGGAAUUAUUGGGCGUAAAGAGCUCGUAGGCGGCUUGUCGCGUCGACUGUGAAAACCUGGGGCUUAACUCCGGGCCUGCAGCCGAUACGGGCAAGCUAGAGUUCGGUAGGGGAGACUGGAAUUCCUGGUGUAGCGGUGAAAUGCGCAGAUAUCAGGAGGAACACCGGUGGCGAAGGCGGGUCUCUGGGCCGAAACUGACGCUGAGGUGCGAAAGCGUGGGGAGCAAACAGG